AUAUUAUUAAGCGGAGGAAAAGAAACUAACAAGGAUGCCCUCAGUAACGGCGAGUGAAGCGGGCAAAGCUCAACCUGAAAAUCGGAUAUCCAAGCGGGUGUUCGAAUUGUGGGCUAGAGACGCAUGAUCAGUGUGUGACCUAGGUAUAAAUCUUUUGAAACAAGGUAUCAUAGAGGGUGAGAAUCCCGUCUUUGACCUAGAGUUUCGCCACGUACGAUCUGUGUUCACAGAGUCGAGUUGUUUGGGAUUGCAGCUCUAAUUGGGUGGUAAAUUUCAUCUAAAGCUAAAUAUCGACGAGAGACCGAUAGCGAACAAGUACCGUGAGGGAAAGAUGAAAAGAACUUUGAAAAGAGAGUUAAAAAGUACUUGAAAUUGCUAAGAGGGAAGCACUGGAAACCAGUCGUUGACCUGCGUAGAUUUUUACCAUUCGCUCCCGGACUGUGCUAUGUGUUUGGAGCCCAAAGCCCAGCAUGUGGUAUAGAGAUGGUGUGAGUGGGUCCUGUCUUGUAGGUCGGAUCAGAAUCAAUUUGAUUCGUGAGAGAAAGCUAUGGCAACGGUAGUUCUAUAGGGGGCAACUCUUAUGGAAUGUUUAGUGCUGUAGUGCUAUCAUGGAUUGGAUUGAGGUA
Molecule: ribosomal RNA, 626 nt
Filed under: uncultured fungus
Lineage: Eukaryota; Fungi
Description: eukaryotic LSU rRNA
Rfam family: Eukaryotic large subunit ribosomal RNA
Source: RNAcentral